GACGAACGCUGGCGGCGUGCUUAACACAUGCAAGUCGAACGGAAAGGCCCUGCUUUUGUGGGGUGCUCGAGUGGCGAACGGGUGAGUAACACGUGAGUAACCUGCCCUUGACUUUGGGAUAACUUCAGGAAACUGGGGCUAAUACCGGAUAGGAGCUCCUGCUGCAUGGUGGGGGUUGGAAAGUUUCGGCGGUUGGGGAUGGACUCGCGGCUUAUCAGCUUGUUGGUGGGGUAGUGGCUUACCAAGGCUUUGACGGGUAGCCGGCCUGAGAGGGUGACCGGCCAAAUUGGGACCGAGAUAACGGCCCGACUCCCUAGGGGGGGAGCAGGGGGGAAAAUUGAACCAAGGGGGGAAGGCUGAAGCAGCAAACCCGCGUGGGGGGUGACGGCCUUGGGGGUUUAAACCGCUUUCGCCCGUGAAGGAAGGUGAGGGAAGGGAAUGGGUAAAGGAGACCCGGCUAAAUAAGUG
This 468-nucleotide ribosomal RNA is filed under the name uncultured bacterium. RNAcentral's name for it is "partial 16S ribosomal RNA". It matches the Rfam family "Bacterial small subunit ribosomal RNA", at positions 28 to 507 of the family's 1533-position model. The record is from RNAcentral.